AUAACAAAAAAUGGGUUUUAUUUUUCUAUACAGUCCUCAAACCUGGAAGAUAUGUUUUGUUCCUAACCAAUCCAUUCUUUAAAUGAAUUGAAGCCUGGCUGCUGGUCUUCCUUUGGGGAAAUACACAGGGAAAGAAAAAAAACUACUUGAGUGUUUCUACUGACCCCCCACCAGAGAUCUGCUUAUGAGUGCAUGGGGAUUGCGGUGGACCUUCAUCUCCUGUUUUAAACAGACUUUGGAGGCUGGCGCAUGAAUCUUCAUUCACAAAAGGUACUUUCAAUAUCAAUAAGGCCACCCAUGUAUUUUAAAAAGAUGUCUUUUACAUAGGUGUAUAGAGAAACCAAAGUGUCAGAACACAAACAGGUAUCAACAGUGACUGUGGAAGUUCCAUUAUUCUUGGGAGUUAUGUCCAGCAACACAAACCAAUCAUAUCCAGCAUGUACAUUGGAUCUGCUAACUUUACUUUAGGAUACCUAGGAUUUUGAAAGUUCACCAUGUUCAGGAAAGAAGACAUUUUACUUGGUAAAUGAAGGAGAGAAAAAUUGCAAGGGAGGAGGUGUAUAGUUUUCAUGGUGCAUUUUUUAAGUACUAUGACUAGGGUGAAGAUGGGGAUUUCACUUGGAUAACUGAGGCUUGGUUAACUGAGGAACAGAAACAACACAUCUCUGUGAUGAUUAACAGAUUAUUAAUAGCUGGCCAUACCAAGUUUGAACCUGACCACCCCAUUUUGGAGUAUAGAAGAUAGCACAUUCUGUUCAUCAGUCAAGGAAACAUAUACACAGCCUUCUACAUAUUGUCCAGAAUCAGAAGAAGCCAGUGGUGUUUUAUAAUUGAAAACCUCAGUGACAUCUCUUCAGAAUUUUUUCUAGACCUUUGAAAUUUUAAACUAAAAAAUCAUAACAUGUAUAUCACAGAGAGAAGACUAUCCGUUUUUUUAUUUAUUUUUUUUUUAUUUUUAUUUUUUAUUAUUUUUUUUUUAAACAUCACUUUAAAGUAUGUGAGUGUCCAUAUUAUUUGUAUUCUAAUAAAUUUAAAGUUCUGAA
This is a long non-coding RNA of Saccostrea cuccullata (small rock oyster), 1043 nucleotides long. RefSeq lists it as uncharacterized. The record is from RefSeq and is a predicted model, not a curated record. NCBI's taxonomy places the organism in Eukaryota, Metazoa, Mollusca, Bivalvia, Ostreida, Ostreidae. The transcript has 6 exons.